This 254-nucleotide ribosomal RNA is filed under the name uncultured bacterium. Its description in RNAcentral is "partial 16S ribosomal RNA". It matches the Rfam family "Bacterial small subunit ribosomal RNA", at positions 524 to 776 of the family's 1533-position model. The record is from RNAcentral.
UACGAAGGGGGCUAGCGUUGCUCGGAAUGACUGGGCGUAAAGGGCGCGUAGGCGGAUGGCUUUGUCGGGCGUGAAAUUCCAGGGCUUAACCUUGGGGCUGCGUUCGAGACGGGUUGUCUUGAGUGGGGAAGAGGGUCGUGGAAUUCCCAGUGUAGAGGUGAAAUUCGUAGAUAUUGGGAAGAACACCGGUGGCGAAGGCGGCGACCUGGUCCUUUUACUGACGCUGAGGCGCGAAAGCGUGGGAAGCAAACAGG